GACGAACGCUGGCGGCGUGCUUAACACAUGCAAGUCGAGCGAGGCCCCUCCUUCGGGAGGGUGUCCUAGCGGCGAACGGGUGAGUAACACGUGGGCAACCUGCCCUCAGCUCUGGGAUAACUCCGGGAAACCGGGGCUAAUACCGGAUACGACCUCCACGGGCAUCUGCGGAGGUGGAAAGUUUUUCGGCUGAGGAUGGGCCCGCGGCCUAUCAGCUAGUUGGUGGGGUAGUGGCCCACCAAGGCGACGACGGGUAGCCGGCCUGAGAGGGCGACCGGCCACACUGGGACUGAGACGCGGCCCAGACUCCUACGGGAGGCAGAAGUGGGGAAGAGUGCGCAAUGGGCGAAAGCCUGACGCAGCGAAGCCGCGUGAGGGACGAAGGCAUUCGGGUUGUAAACCUCUUUCAGCAGGGACGAAGCGAAAGUGACGGUACCUGCAGAAGAAGCACCGGCCAACUACGUG
Molecule: ribosomal RNA, 465 nt
Filed under: uncultured bacterium
Lineage: Bacteria
Description: partial 16S ribosomal RNA
Rfam family: Bacterial small subunit ribosomal RNA
Source: RNAcentral